Molecule: small nuclear RNA, 105 nt
Filed under: Leersia perrieri
Lineage: Eukaryota; Viridiplantae; Streptophyta; Magnoliopsida; Poales; Poaceae
Source: RNAcentral
GUCUCUUCGGAGACAUAUGACAAGAUUUGAAAGAUAUAUAGAGAAGAUUAGCAUGGUCCCUGCGCAAGGAUGACACGCACAAAUCGAAAAAUGGUCUAAUUUUUU